CAGGUGCUGCUGAGCGAGCCCGAGGAGGCGGCGGCUCUGUAUCGGGGCCUUAGCCGCCAGCCCGCGCUGAGCGCCGCCUGCCUGGGCCCGGAGGUCACCACGCAGUACGGCGGCCAAUACCGGACGGUGCACACUGAGUGGACCCAGAGGGACCUGGAACGCAUGGAGAACAUUCGAUUCUGCCGCCAAUACCUGGUGUUCCAUGAUGGGGACUCAGUGGUGUUUGCAGGACCUGCAGGCAACAGUGUGGAGACCCGGGGGGAACUGCUGAGCAGAGAGUCUCCUUCAGGCACCAUGAAAGCUGUGCUGCGCAAGGCUGGAGGCACGGGCCCUGGGGAAGAGAAGCAGUUCCUGGAGGUCUGGGAGAAGAACCGGAAGCUCAAGAGCUUCAACCUGUCAGCACUGGAGAAACAUGGGCCUGUUUAUGAGGAUGGUGAGGCAUCUGGCUGGUGAGCAGGCAGGGUGGACAGGAGGGGUAGCCGUAGCCCUGGGCCCCCCCUGAUUGGCCCUCCCUGCACCCAGACUGCUUUGGCUGCCUGUCCUGGUCGCACUCGGAGACACACUUGUUGUAUGUGGCAGAGAAGAAGCGCCCCAAGGCCGAGUCCUUCUUUCAGACCAAAGCCUUGGACGUCAGUGCCAGCGAUGAUGAGAUAGCCAGGCUGAAGAAGCCAGACCAAGCCAUCAAGGUGCUCGUGGUCA
RNAcentral lists this small RNA (699 nucleotides) under Pan troglodytes (chimpanzee). RNAcentral's name for it is "retained intron". The record is from RNAcentral. Lineage: Eukaryota; Metazoa; Chordata; Mammalia; Primates; Hominidae.